This 215-nucleotide unclassified non-coding RNA is filed under the name soil metagenome. RNAcentral describes it as "partial contains 5.8S ribosomal RNA, internal transcribed spacer 2, and large subunit ribosomal RNA". The record is from RNAcentral.
AACAUCGCGCACCUGCGGGAACCUGCGGAAGGAUCAUUACAAGAAGGGGUGCUGACGGCUCUCUCGGGCGCCGUCAGUCCGCUCUCUACCUUGCCUACUGCACCGUUUGUUGCUUCCUGGCGGCGGCCCCUUGCCGCCAGGAACCCAAUCAAAUCCUGUAUAAGCAUUGACAAACUGAACAAAACCUAAAUCGUACAACUUUUAACAAUGGAUCU